CCCCAAAACUUAUAAAAGGCAAAAGACUUAUCCCCAAAAACCUAUAAAAGGCAAACAACUUAUCCCCAACAACUUAUAAAAGACAAGCAACUUAUCCCGAGAAACUUAUAAAAUGCAAACGACUUAUCCCAAGUGACUUAUUAAGGAAAACCAACAUAUCCAAAAAGCCAUAUACUGUAUGAAAGGGAAAAAAACUUUUACCUAAGGAAAAAAAACUACAAAAAUUCCAGAGCAGCUUAUAAUAAAGCAUAGCAUCUUAUCCAACUUCUUAAAAACAACAACAACUUAACCAAUGAAUCAGAAAAAGCUCCUUCGCAAGAAAAAAAAAAACUCUCUCAGGCGACUUAUGAAAAAAAAAAAAAAAACCUAUGCCAAAAAAAUUUACAAAACAAACUUAUUAAACCUAGAAACUUAUCCAGAAAGCAAAAUGUUCCAUGCAGUUCAUUAAAAGAAAAACAAAAUUUCCUAAGCAUUGUAUAAAAAAAAAACAGACUAAUAAUUUUUUUUUAUUGAGUCACAAGCAACUUACCAGAAAGAGGAUUAUAUCUUCUUUUCAUUAUAGAAUAUAAUAGAAACAUAUUCAAUUAUAGAAUAAUUAUAUUUAUCUACAUAACAGUAAACGCUAAAGCAACUUCUCCAAACCAACAUAUCUAAAAAAAAUAAAUAAAUAAAUAAAUAAAAAAUUAAAGCGACUUGUUAAGUAUUUAUAUGAAGCAAAUUACUCAAAACUAAGCUACUUAUCAGACAAACAAGCCAGACAAAUAACAGACAGAAGUCUGUGACAUGUUUAUCUACAAUGCUAUUAUGACCCAUAGCCACACAGCAGUGUGUUUAGUGAGUAUUAAAACUAUCAUAACGCUGAUCAGAACCGAUCCAGGUAGUACGCUCGGCAGAGCCGGUCUCGGUAGUAUGUGAAGAUCAGAUCCAGGACUGGACCAUGAACUUAAAGCCUUCCUGAUUUCAGCUUCUUUCCAGACAGUGGAUAACCUGCAAGAGACUGUAGAAGGGAAAAGAAGGAAACCGAGGGAUCACUUCUGAAUUCCAAGAAUGGAAAUACAGUGACAGUGGGUGGUUUUUGGAUGCACUUGACGUUUUCCGAUUUUAUUUUCUCAAAUAUUCCUACGUUUCUGUUGUUAUGGCCAAUAUGACACAGAAACAAGGACAAGAGCUUCUAGUACUGCAGAGACAAGAGCUUCGGGUACUGACAUGCUUACUGGUGUUCCUAACAUGCUCGAAAACCAAGACUGCACGCUGCACGUUUUUGCUCAGCAUCUUCUUGCUCUUUUUGCUUAAGACCUCAGUUCCAGGAACAGGUUUUUGGCAGCAAGUGGAGAGCCUGGUUUCCCCUCUGCCAACGCACGUCAUGGGUCCAUAGCGAUGGCUCAGAACUCGUGUCAUGAAUGUUUCUCUAAAACAAGAGCCAACAGUUGCCACAGUAAACACCGCAGCGGGUCCAGAUGUCGAGAGAAACCACAGGCUAGAAAUGUAAUUUAUGGGUUUAAAGUGGAGACAGUUGGAGAUGGGUUUCUUCCCUUUGAUCAACUUUCCUAGAUCUGAUGAAAAAGCAUCGAUCUGAGAUACGAGUGCUGAUCAAAAUUGUCUCCCACACUCACCAUAAAGGCUUCCUUAACGGCUCUUCAAAUGGUUCCUUGGCUUUUAACGGGGUUAUUCGAUCAGAUCAUUAGAAACCGGUUAUAUAAAAGGUCCUUGGACCAACAGGCCGAUUUCUUUCAUCAAAAGCAUAUUGAGCUAGAAAGAUUUAAUUUAAAACAUCAGGAGGAAAGCAUUCCACAACAUGGAUUCAAGUGAAACUGACAUCGCAGGAGACAGUUCCAUACGUCAUGUCUGAAAAAAAAAAAAUAAUACAAUGCCUACACGUGACAUUUCCAAUCUGGGGGUUGAGGACUGGAGUUUUAUAAGUAAACAAUAUUUUGCUGAAGUCUCUCUUCUCUUCUCUUCUCUUCUCAACGAGAGUCUGAGCACCUCUGUAUUGUCACAUUUUUCACAAGUGCUCGGGUUUUCAGCAGUAACUGGUCAUCGCAAAAUCCUGGUUUUUAUUUUCGUUCUGCGGCCAUUCCUCUGCCGGAUUAGACGCACAGUCGGGUUCAUAAUUAUUUGGACAGUCACACAAUUUCCGUAACUUUACCUCUGUACGUUACACCACCCCGAUGGGUCUGAAAUGAAACAUUCAAGAUGAGAAGAAGUUAAAUGUUCUCAAAUGUCCGAUGACCUCGACACAAAUGAGCAUGCUUUCCACUUACUGAAGACAAAACUGAAGGCAGAAAGACCCACAAACAAGCAGCUACUCAAGGCGGAUAGGGUAAAGACCUGGCAACGCAUCUCAAGGGAGAAAACUCAGCAUUUACUGAUGUCCAUGGGUUGAUGGCAAAGGGUUUGUAUCCAAGUAAAUAUCAAUCCUAAUAUUUAUGAUUAUAUCAGUUUGUCGAAUUACUUUUGACCUGUGGAAAUGGAGGGUCUAUGUAAAAGACGGCUGUAAUUAAUGGGUUAAUGCAAUGUUUUUGUUAAACCCCUUGAAUUAAAGCUAAACUCGAUUGCUUCAUCCAUUGUGGAGGUGUACAGAAGCAAAAUCACCCAAAUUGUGUCGCUGUCCAAAUAUUUAUGGACCUGACUGUAUAUUUGGGCGCGUUGUAUCAGGUACAUCUAACUUAGUGGGGAUCUAACUAUCUAAUGGAGAUCCUCCAGGAGGAGCUGGAAACUGUGGCCUGAGAUAGUGAAGUCUGGGCUGACCUUCUCGAAGUGUUGCCACCAUGAUACCCAUUGGGAAAAUCUGGAGUGUUCUUAACUUCCUGCCAACCAGAUUUUCAACUGGUUUUCAAAACCUGAAAAGGAUGACCAGGAAGUCAAUUCAAAUAACCUGCCUCUGAUCACAAGGAGCAUUCCCCUUCCCAUUUAAACUGAAGUCAGCUACCCUGAAUAAGGCCCUCAGUGACUUCGGAGUCAUCUGGACUA
This is a long non-coding RNA of Ictalurus punctatus (channel catfish), 2970 nucleotides long. Lineage: Eukaryota; Metazoa; Chordata; Actinopteri; Siluriformes; Ictaluridae. The record is from Ensembl.